This 334-nucleotide ribosomal RNA is filed under the name uncultured bacterium. Its description in RNAcentral is "partial 16S ribosomal RNA". It matches the Rfam family "Bacterial small subunit ribosomal RNA", at positions 338 to 669 of the family's 1533-position model. The record is from RNAcentral.
CCUACGGGAGGCAGCAGUGAGGAAUAUUGGUCAAUGGACGAGAGUCUGAACCAGCCAAGUAGCGUGAAGGAGGACGGCCCUAUGGGUUGUAAACUUCUUUUAUAGGGGAAUAAAAGGUGCCACGUGAGGGAUUUUGUAUGUACCAUAUGAAUAAGGAGCGGCUAACUCCGUGCCAGCAGCCGCGGUAAGACGGAGGAUCCGAGCGUUAUCCGGAUGGAGUGGGUUUACAGGGAGCGUAGGUGGCUUGUUAAGUCAGUUGUGAAAGUUUUCGGCGAAACCGUAAAAUUGCAGUUGAAACUGGCAGUCUUGCGUACAGUAGCGGUGGGCGGCAUUC